CAGCAAUGGUGGUGCAAGAAAGUUUGUGAACCAUGUAGAAUUUUCUCUAUUUCUGCAUAAAUGUGAUCUAAAGUAUCAGAUCUUCAUGCAAGUCAUAAAACUAGAUAAAGCAAUAACUUCAACCACAUGUUUCUGGUAAAUGUGGAUCAGUCCAGCUCAUCGGCUUGGAGGAAUGUUAGGCCAUUCCUCCUUGGAAAAGUCCUUCAAAUCUGGGAUACUGAUGGGCUUCCUUGCAUGAACUGCUUGCUUCAACUACUUUCACAAUAUUUCUAUAAGAUUAAGGACAGUGCACUUCUACAACCCACACCUCCACUCUGAUCUUGUUGAUUGGAACACUUGACUCCAAAUAGCUUCUGUAGAAGACAUUACCCGUGAGGUUUAUAUACCUUUUCC
Mobula hypostoma (lesser devil ray) is the source of this 393-nucleotide long non-coding RNA. RefSeq lists it as uncharacterized. The transcript has 3 exons. The record is from RefSeq and is a predicted model, not a curated record. NCBI's taxonomy places the organism in Eukaryota, Metazoa, Chordata, Chondrichthyes, Myliobatiformes, Myliobatidae.